GUAUUUUUAGUAUAAUAAGUAUAAUAAUUUUAGGUAUUGUUGGUUUAAGGAUAUA
Molecule: transfer RNA, 55 nt
Filed under: Acanthocheilonema viteae
Lineage: Eukaryota; Metazoa; Nematoda; Chromadorea; Rhabditida; Onchocercidae
Description: tRNA-Leu1
Source: RNAcentral